GGUGGCUCAGUGGUAGAGUACUUGCCUUGCAUGCAUGAAGCCCUGGGUUCAAUUCCUCAGCACCA
Dipodomys ordii (Ord's kangaroo rat) is the source of this 65-nucleotide non-coding RNA. NCBI's taxonomy places the organism in Eukaryota, Metazoa, Chordata, Mammalia, Rodentia, Heteromyidae. The record is from Rfam.